CCUACGGGAGGCAGCAGUAAGGAAUAUUGGUCAAUGGAGGCAACUCUGAACCAGCCAUGCCGCGUGCAGGAAGACAGCCCUAUGGGUCGUAAACUGCUUUUAUACGGGAAUAAACUUUGAUUCGUGAAUCAAGCUGAAUGUACCGUAAGAAUAAGGAUCGGCUAACUCCGUGCCAGCAGCCGCGGUAAUACGGAGGAUCCAAGCGUUAUCCGGAUUUAUUGGGUUUAAAGGGAGCGUAGGCGGCCUAUUAAGUCAGGGGUGAAAGACGGUGGCUCAACCAUCGCAGUACCUUUGAUACUGAUGGGCUUGAAUAUAGUUGAGGUAGGCGGAAUGUGACAAGUAGCGGUGAAAUGCAUAGAUAUGUCACAGAACACCGAUUGCGAAGGCAGCUUACUAAGCUAUGAUUGACGCUGAGGCUCGAAAGCGUGGGGAUCAAACAGGAUUAGAUACCCUGGUAGUCCACGCCCUAAACGAUGAUAACUCGAUGUUGGCGAUAUACAGUCAGCGUCCAAGCGAAAGCGUUAAGUUAUCCACCUGGGAGUACGCCCGCAAGGGUGAAACGUCGAAAUGAAAUUGAGGCGNGAGACGNGCGAGGACGACGACGAGGGAGGAGG
RNAcentral lists this ribosomal RNA (614 nucleotides) under uncultured bacterium. Its description in RNAcentral is "bacterial SSU rRNA". It matches the Rfam family "Bacterial small subunit ribosomal RNA", at positions 338 to 951 of the family's 1533-position model. The record is from RNAcentral.